RNAcentral lists this ribosomal RNA (486 nucleotides) under uncultured bacterium. RNAcentral describes it as "partial 16S ribosomal RNA". It matches the Rfam family "Bacterial small subunit ribosomal RNA", at positions 30 to 507 of the family's 1533-position model. The record is from RNAcentral.
AUUGAACGCUGGCGGCAUGCCUUACACAUGCAAGUCGAACGGCAGCACGGGUGCUUGCCCCUGGUGGCGAGUGGCGAACGGGUGAGUAAUACAUCGGAACAUGUCCUGUAGUGGGGGAUAGCCCGGCGAAAGCCGGAUUAAUACCGCAUACGAUCUACGGAUGAAAGCGGGGGACCUUCGGGCCUCGCGCUAUAGGGUUGGCCGAUGGCUGAUUAGCUAGUUGGCGGGGUAAAGGCCUACCAAGGCGACGAUCAGUAGCUGGUCUGAGAGGACGACCAGCCACACUGGGACUGAGACACGGCCCAGACUCCUACGGGAGGCAGCAGUGGGGAAUUUUGGACAAUGGGCGAAAGCCUGAUCCAGCAAUGCCGCGUGUGUGAAGAAGGCCUUCGGGUUGUAAAGCACUUUUGUCCGGAAAGAAAUCCUUGGCCCUAAUACGGUCGGGGGAUGACGGUACCGGAAGAAUAAGCACCGGCUAACUACGUG